Molecule: ribosomal RNA, 310 nt
Filed under: Curtobacterium sp. BC1_NA1B7
Lineage: Bacteria; Bacillati; Actinomycetota; Actinomycetes; Micrococcales; Microbacteriaceae
Description: bacterial SSU rRNA
Rfam family: Bacterial small subunit ribosomal RNA
Source: RNAcentral
AGAUGUUGGGUUAAGUCCCGCAACGAGCGCAACCCUCGUUCUAUGUUGCCAGCGGGUUAUGCCGGGGACUCAUAGGAGACUGCCGGGGUCAACUCGGAGGAAGGUGGGGAUGACGUCAAAUCAUCAUGCCCCUUAUGUCUUGGGCUUCACGCAUGCUACAAUGGCCGGUACAAAGGGCUGCGAUACCGUAAGGUGGAGCGAAUCCCAAAAAGCCGGUCUCAGUUCGGAUUGAGGUCUGCAACUCGACCUCAUGAAGUCGGAGUCGCUAGUAAUCGCAGAUCAGCAACGCUGCGGUGAAUACGUUCCCGGG